GACAGCGAAAGAAGUGUUCAGCGAGAUGCCUCACAACAAUGAAGUAUUCUGCAGUUAAUCUGUUUCCCUGCACAAUGUGGCUGUGUAUAAGCUUUGCCUGGAAAAUAACACAGGCCAAUGAGAUCUUUCUCAUGGAGACACAGAAGGCCAAGGAAAUUAGAAGGUAUGAAUGGAUUAGUACCCAUUUUAUAGGUGGAGAAACGGGAAAAUAAGAGCUGCUAAACUUCAGUGUGAAUUUUACUGUGCUUUGCUCUGCUAGUCAAUUCAUAAUAUUUUAUAUAUAGUUAUUCCUAAAAGGAGAGCAUUCAAUUCUGCUGCUUACUCAGAAGUUUGGAACAGUAACAAUCACACUUUCUGCCAACCUGAGAGGAACAGUGUAAGUUAUACACAUCAGCCACCUUAGGUACAUUUAUGACGUUACUGGGGCAUAAAAGGCAUUAGCAAUGAAUCAGCAGAAAAAUAUCUCAAAACUGCCCAGGAGCAUUUACAAAAACGUUCAGAAUUCCUUUCUGUAAAAGCUCCUUUCCCACUUUCCCCCUUCCCCUAGUGACACAACAAAAUCAAAGCAUGCAGAAAUUAGAGAGAUUACACCAUGCAUUUCAUCUCCAGCAUCCCAGUUAAGGUAUUUGAUCUUAAAGACAAGGGAAAUGAGGUCAUACGUCAUUUUAUCGGAGUCUUUUUCAGACUUUCAUUAUUAGGAGGAUUGGAUUUUUGUUAAAGGAACUGAAAACCACCACAGUCACACAACAUCACACAGCUAUUUACCCCCAAACAAAGACAGAACCAAGGCCUUGCCCAUCACUUGCUUUGUUGAUCGCGUUGCCUGUCGCACUGUGAUCGAGAUAGCCUAGAGAGCAGCCAUGAUUCCAGCAGCUCUGACUGGUCAAGCUUUCGACGUCUUCAGGAGCCAUUCAUCCCAAAAUCAUUUAAAUUGGAAUCCUAAUGGCUAUACACUUUUGAAAUGCAGCUUGGUCCCAGUUUUUUUGUUUGUUUUGUUUUCUUGUACCAUUACUUUGACACGUAGAGCCAUUGGUAGCAGCUCAGGAGUUACACAACCAGUGUGUAUUAUUAUUAUUAGCAAGUUACUGAAGCUUAGUGCUGCUAACGCUCUAGUAGAUUACAAACAUUCUGGACUGUUUUUAUGCAGACAAGCAGGUAUUUGUGAAUGGCACAAUUAUUAGACAUUCCCACUUCUGCACAUAGCCCGGACAAUUCAAAAGCAGCCGAAUUAUGCAACAUACUAAAUUUUGCCACUGUUUGCUAGAACUUCUUGCACCUGCCAAGUAUACAUUAUAUUGUACCUCACACCUUUGUACCUCACAUAUUGACCUAGAAAGAUCUAAGUGUCAACUUGCUAUGGGUAUGGGAAGGGUUGGUUAACUGCCUUUAAGCAAUCUAAAUUUCCAGAGUACAGACACUACACCACUGAAACAGGGAAAGAAUCACAGCUCACAUUCCACUUCAGCCAUAUCUCUUUUACUCUGUCCCUAAAGAAACACAGCCUUACAGCUCAGUUUGUUAUAAGAAAUAUCUACCCUGCACUAAAGAUCUACCUAUCAAGUGUUAGCCAGACGGAGCAAAAAGCAAUGAUGCCGUCUCUUCAAAAUCAGGGUAAGUCAAAGCCAUCAAAUUAGGCUAUUUCUAUCCAAAUCUUCAAACAAAAAUCUUGCAUUAAAGGAGGGUGAGCGGCAGGGGAUGAUAAACAAAUAGACGAGACCGAAGAUUAUCCAAAUGCUGCCGGCACUGCUACUGCGACACAGGUUGUGUAACACACAACCAGUGAUUCACCAACGAGUGCUCGAUUAAUUACUCAUCACCGGUGCUGAUCACUAAUGCCCGACAUCCCACAUUCAAGAAAAAGAAAAGCCCUUCAGAGACACUCUUCUAAACUGACAGGAUCCCUGCCUGAGAUACACAAAGCCCUCGUGAGCAGCAAUAAAGAAUUACUGGACACUUGCAUGGUCUGCGUGUUGCACAGACCACCGGCACUCAGCACCUCAGAUAAACUACCCAGCGCUACCAGUUAGCUAAACCAAUGCUAAAAGCAGGAUGUUUUCUGUACUGAUACAGACAAGAUGUGAAAAUAAUUAACAGACACCUUGGGGUAUCCCUAACAAUUAAGCUGAAAUAAAAAAAGGCAAGUUCCAGAACAGCAGCCACUGCAAAAGCUACUUAAAGUGUUUCUACGGGAAGUAACGUGUAAUUCAGAGCUGCAAUCUGCAACCCUAUGGUUUUAAAUGAUAAAUGCCAGCUUUAAUUACACAAUCAGACCUGCAAUAGCUACUUCAAAUGCUACUGAUUGUAAAAGGGCUAUGAAAAGCUUUAUUGAUGCUCUUUCAGGUUUUAUUUCCUUUCCGUGUGUUAUCUACAAUUAACAGAAAACAAGCAAAAUAAAUCUGAAUCAUGAACAGGUUUGCAAAGAUUGUGUAAUGAAAAUAAGAGAAAAACAGGAGCGAAACAAAAUUCAAUGGAAACAUGCACUGGGCAUGCAGAGACAACGCAACAGAAGACAAAACAUUAAUAGCAAACGGCACUGUUACAACAAAGCGGUUAUCACGUACAUGAAAACAGUUGUCUUAAUUGAGACUGAGGGGUUAGUUGCAAGUGCUUUAGUGGCUAGAGGCUACUUCUGAGGUAUUCUCAACUCAGGGCUGUAUAACAUGCAACAAAACAGCUGGUGACAACGACUGGAGACAUCCCUUCCAUUUUCAUAGCGCUUAAAGCAACUUUAUAUUCAGUUCAUCAACUUAAGUCUCUGCACCAUAGCUUAAAUAAUAGAGACAUAUUUGCCUUUUCAGAUGUGUAUAAGAGACAGCUUGUAUACUGUUCUGGCCCCGGUAUCCUUUUAAUGUUCUAAGCCAGAACCAUGGGCUAUAAUGAAUCAGUAAAAUCUUACGCACCCAGCGCUUACAAUGAUGACCUUAACUGACGACUUAUUUCAUUUUUCCUAAUGAUACAAGUAUAAUUCCCAUGUGCCGAUGUAUCUCUAUAAAUCACUUUUUACAUGCUAAUUUUUAUCCAGAAUCUAUCUGAAGGAUUUUCAGACUGUGGUGUCUGAAGCUACAGCUAAACUGCUCUGACAGCUGUUGCAGUCCUAAAGGCACAGAGAGCCGACGCUGGUGUAGGAAGUCACCAGAUCAUAAUAAUUGGGCUGCACUCAUCAGCUAGAAGUUUAGACUUUGACCAACAGCGUGUCUUGAGCCUUGAGUCAGAAAUAAUACAGCUGUGUACAUUGGAUGUAUUGCAAUACGAGAUCCAAUGAGAAAAGCUCUUGUGUAAGACCGAAGUGUGGAUGGCAAAGAUUAACACAGAAAUGCAUUACGUUUCAUGGUAAUAAACUUAAAAAUGAAAGGAA
Coturnix japonica (Japanese quail) is the source of this 3355-nucleotide long non-coding RNA. RefSeq lists it as uncharacterized. NCBI's taxonomy places the organism in Eukaryota, Metazoa, Chordata, Aves, Galliformes, Phasianidae. The record is from RefSeq and is a predicted model, not a curated record.